GAUGAACGCUGGCGGCGUGCCUAAUACAUGCAAGUCGAACGCACAGCGAAAGGUGCUUGCACCUUUCAAGUGAGUGGCGAACGGGUGAGUAACACGUGGACAACCUGCCUCAAGGCUGGGGAUAACAUUUGGAAACAGAUGCUAAUACCGAAUAAAACUUAGUGUCGCAUGACACAAAGUUAAAAGGCGCUUCGGCGUCACCUAGAGAUGGAUCCGCGGUGCAUUAGUUAGUUGGUGGGGUAAAGGCCUACCAAGACAAUGAUGCAUAGCCGAGUUGAGAGACUGAUCGGCCACAGUGGGACUGAGACACGGCCCAAACUCCUACGGGAGGCUGCAGUAGGGAAUCUUCCACAAUGGGCGAAAGCCUGAUGGAGCAACGCCGCGUGUGUGAUGAAGGCUUUCGGGUCGUAAAGCACUGUUGUAUGGGAAGAACAGCUAGAAUAGGAAAUGAUUUUAGUUUGACGGUACCAUACCAGAAAGGGACGGCUAAAUACGUG
Molecule: ribosomal RNA, 497 nt
Filed under: uncultured bacterium
Lineage: Bacteria
Description: partial 16S ribosomal RNA
Rfam family: Bacterial small subunit ribosomal RNA
Source: RNAcentral